GCACAAGCGGUGGAUGAUGUGGAUUAAUUCGAUGCAACGCGAAAACCUUACCUACCCUUGACAUGUCCGGAAUCCUGCAGAGAUGCGGGAGUGCCCGAAAGGGAAUCGGAACACAGGUGCUGCAUGGCUGUCGUCAGCUCGUGUCGUGAGAUGUUGGGUUAAGUCCCGCAACGAGCGCAACCCUUAUCAUUAGUUUGCUACGCAAGGGCACUCUAAAGAGACUGCCGGUGUCAAACCGGAGGAAGGUGGGGAUGACGUCAAGUCCUCAUGGCCUUUAUGACCAGGGCUACACACGUACUACAAUGGCCGGUACAAAGGGCAGCCACUUAGCGAUAAGGAGCCAAUCCCGUAAAGCCGGUCUCAGUCCGGAUUGGAGUCUGCAACUCGACUCCAUGAAGUUGGAAUCGCUAGUAAUCGCAGAUCAGCACGCUGCGGUGAAUACGUUCCCGGGCCUU
RNAcentral lists this ribosomal RNA (455 nucleotides) under uncultured Dechloromonas sp. RNAcentral describes it as "bacterial SSU rRNA". It matches the Rfam family "Bacterial small subunit ribosomal RNA", at positions 923 to 1382 of the family's 1533-position model. The record is from RNAcentral. Lineage: Bacteria; Pseudomonadati; Pseudomonadota; Betaproteobacteria; Rhodocyclales; Azonexaceae.